Oryctolagus cuniculus (rabbit) is the source of this 1084-nucleotide non-coding RNA. NCBI's taxonomy places the organism in Eukaryota, Metazoa, Chordata, Mammalia, Lagomorpha, Leporidae. The record is from RefSeq and is a predicted model, not a curated record.
CCGACAGCCCCUGCGCCUGCGCAGAAAGGAGCUCUGCACUCCACACCCUCUGAAGGAAACGCCUCGGUCUUAGGACGCAUGCGUGUUGUGAAUCCUAAACGCCCCUUCCACCUCAGACGUCGUCUGUACGCCGGGCGUUGAAAAGACCACGCCGCCACAGUAUCGCUGGUCUUGCCUAGGACGCAUGCGCCUGGGGAAACGCCCCACCUCGCUUUAACUGGACCUAGGCGGCUCACACGUUUCUGAAAACUCGCACCGUGGGGUGGGCCCCUUGUCUGGGAAUGCUUCCCUCCAGUUCCACACAUGCGCGAGCGCUCCCUUUCCGCUCCGCUCUUCCUAGCGCACUAGUGUGGUCGGGUGUCCGCCCACCUCGGCUUCGCCGCUCUCCACUCUGCGUCUCUGCCCCGCCAUAGAGUUCCGCCAGGCGAGAUAGAGCGGCCCCGUGCCGGCCACCAUCUUGUUUAAGGUCUGGGCCCGUAGUGGUCCUGUGGCUUCCAUAGGGGCCCUUCUACUCUUGAAUCCUCACUGGAAAGAUUUAUAUUUUUGUGUGUUUUCCCCAGCUGUGCUCGGCAGUUGCCAAGAUAAUUGUGUGCAAGCUCCUUAGGAGACAAUUCUGUAUAAAGAGUGGUUUGUUAAAUUACCCCGACAUUCUCCAAACCGUGGGUGACCGUGGAGCCACAAGCAAGCUGUCUCUCCCCUGUUCCUGGCCUUAGGGAAGAAGCCCCUGCUGCGCCUGAGACUUCAUAGUCCUCUGCCUGCAGGUCCUAAGUCUCCAGCACCUCCUUCGUGACCACCUUGCAGGAAGCGAGGACCAAGAAAGACUCCUGUGGCAGGUCCACUGCCGAACAAGAGCCGGAGUCCGCGUUUGUGCAGUGCGUCUCGCUGGCAGAGCCUGCGCCUUCCCUUCCUCUUCUGAGUGUCUCGCCCUUUCCUUGGUUAACAGCAGCACAGCUUUCACCAAAAAAAUUAAUAAGCCCCACAACUUCUUGGCGUUGUCCAGUUCCUGUUCUCAAAGAUGUUCCCAUGACCCAGGAAUUCUACCCCUAGGUAUUCACAGAUACCAAUAAAAACAGGUACCCAACCA